This 229-nucleotide long non-coding RNA is filed under the name Ficedula albicollis (Collared flycatcher). RNAcentral describes it as "lncRNA (ENSFALG00000028350.1)". The record is from RNAcentral. Lineage: Eukaryota; Metazoa; Chordata; Aves; Passeriformes; Muscicapidae.
CUGGUCCUCAUGAAAUGAUUGCUAGCAAUGGAGUGCUGGUGUGUCGUGAACUUUGCUGCUUGGAAGUUGAAGUGGCAGAGAAGACGAAGCAAAAAUCAAAGAAGGAGCUUUCCCUCACUGUGAAGGGCUCCUUUGAGGGGACACAGGACAUUGUGCUGGGCCCCAACGGGGUGGUCAUCCCCUCGUAUCCCACCGAGUUCCACUACAUCAAGUACGCGGAGCCAACGCU